RNAcentral lists this ribosomal RNA (1346 nucleotides) under uncultured marine eukaryote. Its description in RNAcentral is "SSU rRNA". It matches the Rfam family "Eukaryotic small subunit ribosomal RNA", at positions 407 to 1776 of the family's 1831-position model. The record is from RNAcentral.
GGGGCAUUUCAUGGAGGAGCAGGCACGCAAAUUACCCAAUGAGUCGAAGACCGAGGUAGUGACGAAAAAUAACGAUACCGGACUCAUCCGAGGCCCGGUAAUCGGAAUGAGUACACUUUAAAUCCUUUAACGAGGAACAAUUGGAGGGCAAGUCUGGUGCCAGCAGCCGCGGUAAUUCCAGCUCCAAUAGCGUAUAUUAAAGUUGUUGCGGUUAAAAAGCUCGUAGUUGGAUCUCGGCAGGUAGGGGGCGGUUCGUUUCUGACGGCACUGCCCCAUUUACCUGUGUUUAUGCAAGAGGUCUCAAGGUGGCUUUAAUCGGCUGUCUUGGAACGCUUGCAGUUUUACUUUGAAAAAAUUAGAGUGCUCAAAGCAGGCUACAAAGCUUGAAUAUUUGUGCAUGGAAUAAUGGAAUAGGUAGUCGUUUCUAUUUUUUUGGUUUUCGGAAAUUGACUUAAUGAUUAAUAGGGACAGCCGGGGGCAUUAGUACUCAGACGACAGAGGUGAAAUUCCUGGACCGUUUGAGGACUAACUACUGCGAAAGCAUUUGCCAAGAGUGUUUUCAUUAAUCAAGAACGAAAGUUAGAGGUUCGAAGGCGAUCAGAUACCGCCCUAGUUCUAACCAUAAACAAUGCUGACUAGCGAUCCGUAGCUGUUUUCUAUGUAGGCUCUACGGGAAGCUUCCGGGAAACCAAAGUUUUUGAGUUCCGGGGGAAGUAUGGUUGCAAAGCUGAAACUUAAAGGAAUUGACGGAAGGGCACCACCAGGAGUGGAGCCUGCGGCUUAAUUUGACUCAACACGGGAAAUCUCACCAGGCCCGGACACUGGAAGGAUUGACAGAUUGAGAGCUCUUUCUCGAUUCAGUGGGUGGUGGUGCAUGGCCGUUCUUAGUUGGUGGAGUGAUUUGUCUGGUUAAUUCCGAUAACGAACGAGACUCUUUUCUGCUAAAUAGGUUUGCCGUCUUUUUUGCGGUAAACAUUCUUCUUAGAGAGACUGGCGGCGUCUAGCCGCACGAGAUUGAGCAAUAACAGGUCUGUGAUGCCCUUAGAUGUUCUGGGCUGCACACGCGCUACACUGAAUGGAUCAGCGUGUUUUCCCUUCCCGAGAGGGACGGGUAACCCGCUGAACCCCGUUCGUGGUAGGGAUCGGAGCUUGCAAUUAUUCUCCGUGAACCAGGAAUUCCCAGUAAGCGCAAGUCAUAAGCUUGCGUUGAUUACGUCCCUGCCCUUUGUACACACCGCCCGUCGCUACUACCGAUUGAACGUUUUAGUGAGAAAUCUGGAUUCGACCUCUGUGGGUUCAUUCCCCACAGUGCUGUCGGAGAAGAUUUUCAAACUUGAAGCGUUAAA